AGUGAACGCUGGCGGUAGGCCUAACACAUGCAAGUCGAACGGCAGCACAGUAAGAGCUUGCUCUUACGGGUGGCGAGUGGCGGACGGGUGAGGAAUACAUCGGAAUCUACUUUUUCGUGGGGGAUAACGUAGGGAAACUUACGCUAAUACCGCAUACGACCUACGGGUGAAAGCAGGGGAUCUUCGGACCUUGCGCGAUUGAAUGAGCCGAUGUCGGAUUAGCUAGUUGGCGGGGUAAAGGCCCACCAAGGCGACGAUCCGUAGCUGGUCUGAGAGGAUGAUCAGCCACACUGGAACUGAGACACGGUCCAGACUCCUACGGGAGGCAGCAGUGGGGAAUAUUGGACAAUGAGCGCAAGCCUGAUCCAGCCAUACCGCGUGGGUGAAGAAGGCCUUCGGGUUGUAAAGCCCUUUUGUUGGGAAAGAAAAGCAGCAGGUUAAUACCCCGCUGUUCUGACGGUACCCAAAGAAUAAGCACCGGCUAACUUCGU
This 491-nucleotide ribosomal RNA is filed under the name uncultured bacterium. RNAcentral describes it as "partial 16S ribosomal RNA". It matches the Rfam family "Bacterial small subunit ribosomal RNA", at positions 29 to 506 of the family's 1533-position model. The record is from RNAcentral.